This 87-nucleotide small RNA is filed under the name Klebsiella aerogenes. Its description in RNAcentral is "partial RtT sRNA". It matches the Rfam family "RtT RNA", at positions 1 to 85 of the family's 130-position model. From Rfam's summary of the family: This family represents a bacterial cis-regulatory element known as RtT RNA. The exact function of RtT is unknown although it is thought that it may be involved in changing the cellular response in relation to amino acid starvation. Lineage: Bacteria; Pseudomonadati; Pseudomonadota; Gammaproteobacteria; Enterobacterales; Enterobacteriaceae. The record is from RNAcentral.
UAUUCUGCCCUACGGGGAAGGAUGAGAAGCUUCGACUAAGGUUCGACUCGAGCGCCAGCGAGAAAACGUUGCCGCAGGCAACGGCCC